This is a non-coding RNA of Pelobates cultripes (western spadefoot toad), 420 nucleotides long. Lineage: Eukaryota; Metazoa; Chordata; Amphibia; Anura; Pelobatidae. The record is from the annotation of a GenBank genome assembly.
GGGAGACCUGAGGGACCUUAUAAGGGAACUACAACUACCCACGAUACAAAUGACAUGGUAGGAUCCAACGGCCUUUUACACCUUCUCAACUGAGGUACAACGCCUGGUACAGCAGCCCUCCAGGCCCAGAAGAACAAGACAACAGACCACAUGCCCCACGGGCACCAACAUGUAAAGGACCAUGCACUACCUGCCUACCUCCCCAGGAACCCGCAUGGCUCCAGCUGAAGGCUAGAUGGACAUUACUUGUUCCCGACUCACGAGACCAGAGUCACUGGACGCACCGCGCUGAACUCCCCAGAACCGCAAGUAUACAGCCUACGGGUCGGCACACCCAACAGGGUCCCAUACUGACACAAUAGUUGAGACAUAAAGAGGUGCACCGAACCUCGGAACCCAAGCAGAGAGCCGGCAAGGGAC